CCCUACGGGGCGCACCAGGAGAGAACCGGAUACCCGGUACAGCAAUGUCUUUGUCCUCGACAAAAACCUCAACGUCACCGGGAAGAUCGGGCAUAUUGCGCCGGGCGAGGUCCUGCACUCUACCCGGUUUAUGGGCGACCGGCUCUACAUGGUAACCUUUAAAGAACUCGAUCCGUUCUUUGUGAUCGACCUGUCUGAUCCCGCAACACCGAAAAUACUCGGGAAACUCAAACUCCCGGGUUUUUCCGAGUACCUGCAUCCCUACGACAAUUCCCAUAUCAUCGGCGUCGGCCUGGAGACGGUCCAGAACGAAUGGGGCGGCACCGUGUCCCGCGGGAUCAAGGUAUCGCUCUUUGACGUCUCCAAUGUGAGCCGGCCGACGGUGGUCGACAGCAUCGAAUUGGCGGGAGGGC
RNAcentral lists this ribosomal RNA (413 nucleotides) under uncultured prokaryote. RNAcentral describes it as "partial 16S ribosomal RNA". The record is from RNAcentral.